Molecule: ribosomal RNA, 292 nt
Filed under: uncultured bacterium
Lineage: Bacteria
Description: partial 16S ribosomal RNA
Source: RNAcentral
GGACUACCGGGGUUUCUAAUCCUGUUUGCUCCCCACGCUUUCGCGUCUCAGCGUCAGUUCCGGGCCAGUGAGCCGCCUUCGCCACUGGUGUUCUUGCGAAUAUCUACGAAUUUCACCUCUACACUCGCAGUUCCACUCACCUCUCCCGGACUCAAGAUCCCCAGUAUCAAAGGCCGUUCCGAGGUUGAGCCUCGGCAUUUCACCCCUGACUUAAGGACCCGCCUACACGCGCUUUACGCCCAGUAAUUCCGAACAACGCUAGCCCCCUUCGUAUUACCGCGGCUGCUGGCAC